UACGGAGGGUGCAAGCGUUAAUCGGAAUUACUGGGCGUAAAGGGCGCGUAGGCGGCCUGAUCAGUCUGACGUGAAAGCCCUGGGCUUAACCUGGGAGCGGCAUUGGAUACUGUCGGGCUAGAGUUUAAUAGAGGGGAGUGGAAUUUCCGGUGUAGCGGUGAAAUGCGUAGAGAUCGGAAGGAACACCAGUGGCGAAGGCGACUCUCUGGAUUAAAACUGACGCUGAGGUGCGAAAGCGUGGGUAGCAAACAGG
This 253-nucleotide ribosomal RNA is filed under the name uncultured bacterium. RNAcentral describes it as "partial 16S ribosomal RNA". It matches the Rfam family "Bacterial small subunit ribosomal RNA", at positions 524 to 776 of the family's 1533-position model. The record is from RNAcentral.